GAUGUAGCUCAGUGGCAGAGUGACUGCUUUGCAUGCAAAAGGUUCCAGGUUCAAAUCCCCAGGUUCUCCA
This is a non-coding RNA of Podarcis lilfordi (Lilford's wall lizard), 70 nucleotides long. Lineage: Eukaryota; Metazoa; Chordata; Lepidosauria; Squamata; Lacertidae. The record is from the annotation of a GenBank genome assembly.